Molecule: transfer RNA, 77 nt
Filed under: bacterium
Lineage: Bacteria
Also listed under: 10 other names
Description: tRNA-Ala
Rfam family: tRNA
About the family: Transfer RNA (tRNA) molecules are approximately 80 nucleotides in length. Their secondary structure includes four short double-helical elements and three loops (D, anti-codon, and T loops). Further hydrogen bonds mediate the characteristic L-shaped molecular structure. tRNAs have two regions of fundamental functional importance: the anti-codon, which is responsible for specific mRNA codon recognition, and the 3' end, to which the tRNAs corresponding amino acid is attached (by aminoacyl-tRNA synthetases). tRNAs cope with the degeneracy of the genetic code in two manners: having more than one tRNA (with a specific anti-codon) for a particular amino acid; and 'wobble' base-pairing, i.e. permitting non-standard base-pairing at the 3rd anti-codon position.
Source: RNAcentral
GGGGAUGUAGCUCAGUUGGCUAGAGCGCUUGACUGGCAGUCAAGAGGUCGUGGGUUCGAAUCCCAUCUUCUCCACCA